RNAcentral lists this ribosomal RNA (390 nucleotides) under uncultured bacterium. RNAcentral's name for it is "partial 16S ribosomal RNA". It matches the Rfam family "Bacterial small subunit ribosomal RNA", at positions 338 to 734 of the family's 1533-position model. The record is from RNAcentral.
CCUACGGGAGGCAGCAGUGAGGGAUUUUGCGCAAUGGGCGAAAGCCUGACGCAGCGACGCCGCGUGGAGGAUGAAGGCCUUCGGGUUGUAAACUCCUGUUAGAGGGGAAGAAGCCCCGCAAGGGGUUGACGGUACCCCCAGAGGAAGCCCCGGCUAACUACGUGCCAGCAGCCGCGGUAAUACGUAGGGGGCGAGCGUUACUCGGAAUUACUGGGCGUAAAGGGUGUGUAGGCGGCCGAGCAAGUCGAAGAUGAAAUCCCAGGGCUCAACCCUGGAAUUGUCUUCGAUACGGCUUGGCUUGAGGGUAGUGGAGGAGAGCGAAAUUCCCGGUGGAGGGGUGAAAUGCGUAGAUAUCGGGAGGAACACCAGUGGCGAAGGCGGCAUCCAGGC